Long non-coding RNA from Mauremys mutica (yellowpond turtle), 688 nucleotides. RefSeq lists it as uncharacterized. The transcript has 3 exons. NCBI's taxonomy places the organism in Eukaryota, Metazoa, Chordata, Testudines, Geoemydidae. The record is from RefSeq and is a predicted model, not a curated record.
AACUGAUAAUUUGCUUUAGUGCUCCUGAAUGUACACACUUUGGUCCUGCAGUCCUAAAUCAACAUCGACUUCAAUAGAGGGACUUAUUAAACCUGGUGAUAAAUGAGCACCACAGAUACCUUUUUGACUAUUGUGACAAAGUCAGACCUGCCAGUUCUGGAAGUGUGAUUGAAGGCAGGUGUAUCAGACUUAGGAAACAGUGCUUUGACCAUCCCAAGAACUGAAAGAGCGAAGGGGGCCUGGAUUCCCACCGAAGCUGGACCCAGCAUGGAUUAGAGAGGAUGGCUGGUGACCAGUAGCCUGUAUAAGAAGAGGCAGUACCCCAGUGGGCGUUAGAAAAGGCAUUCUGUUUAAAGAAACCUCUUGGGCCAACCCUAUAAUUAGUUUAAAUAAACCAGCAUUCAGAAUUAAACUGCUGGAGUAGGACUGAUUCACUCCAGGCCCCCACCACCACGCCAAAGGGAGAAAAGCUGAGUAUUGCUGUGACAAAAAGAGGUACUCACUGCCGCCUGAAGCUUCCAGCCUCUCAGACCCCAGAAUCUCUCUCCCACAGCACUCAAGUAGAACAUAACUGACACCUACAUCCUACAAAGGCUUGGUCUGGUGUGUCCUGGAGAGGAAAGUGAAAUACUUUGUGAAUGUUUCAUGAAGGAGGAUCCCAGCCAGCUGGACUGAAGUGCUGCAGGGA